This 691-nucleotide small RNA is filed under the name Pan troglodytes (chimpanzee). Its description in RNAcentral is "retained intron". The record is from RNAcentral. Lineage: Eukaryota; Metazoa; Chordata; Mammalia; Primates; Hominidae.
GUUCGCUCCGCGCCGCCCGCCUGCUACGAGUAGGACGCUGUCCGCAGCUUGCGCAUUUCGCAGCCGCUGCCGCCUCGCCGCUGCUCCUUCGUAAGGCCACUUCCGCACACCGACACCAACAUGAACGGACAGCUCAACGGCUUCCACGAGGCGUUCAUCGAGGAGGGCACGUUCCUUUUCACCUCAGAGUCGGUCGGGGAAGGCCACCCAGAUAAGAUUUGUGACCAGAUCAGUGAUGCUGUCCUUGAUGCCCACCUUCAGCAGGAUCCUGAUGCCAAAGUAGCUUGUGAAACUGUUGCUAAAACUGGAAUGAUCCUUCUUGCUGGGGAAAUUACAUCCAGAGCUGCUGUUGACUACCAGAAAGUGGUUCGUGAAGCUGUUAAACACAUUGGAUAUGAUGAUUCUUCCAAAGGUGUGUUUUAAUGAUUUUGCUCAUUUUUUUCUAGGUAACAGCUGUGAGGUUUGAAGAAACUCCUAGAAUAUUCCUGCUAAUCCUAAACUCCAGUUGUAUUUUACUAUACACUAAGCCCUAUUCUGUUCAUUCUCUAGAAGGUCCGAUGGUUUAGGUAUAUUUGAUUUCUUCAGCAGUGUUUAGAAUUCCAGAUAAUUGCUGUAAACAGCAGGUAUUUCUAGGACGUAAACAAGAUGUUGUGUUUUUUGCUUAUAGGUUUUGACUACAAGACUUGUAAUG